This 1175-nucleotide long non-coding RNA is filed under the name Mytilus galloprovincialis (Mediterranean mussel). The record is from RNAcentral. Lineage: Eukaryota; Metazoa; Mollusca; Bivalvia; Mytilida; Mytilidae.
AAUUUGUGUAGUUAAAAAAAUAAUACACAUAUCAACUACAAUUUCAUCCAAAUUAUAUACUGCAAUAUUUUUAAAUCAUCUCAAAACCAGUAGCUGCAAUUUUCAUUUCAUGAAAUUCCCUUUUCUAUCAUCUUUAGAUUAUUCAUUUUCUGAGGGAGUAGCACUGGUUUACUGCAUUGAAGAGAGUUAUAAUAUGACAAUUUGAGGUCAUCCUAUUUAAUUUCAAUGCACUAAAUCAAUUUGACCAAAGAAUCGCAUUCUGAUAGCACUUAUCUGGCUCACGAAUUAUAUUGAAGGGGGGGGGGGGGGGGGGCAAAUAUCAUUUUAAUCAAAACUUUAAUAUCUUUAAUGUACAAUGAUUUUCAGCCAUAUACUGAAAACAGUUAAUAACAGUUUACUAUUAGAAACACCCUAUCUUACAAACCGUAAAGAAUUCAAAUAAGCUGGGUUAUAAAGAAGAACUGCUACACUGCUCUUACAAUUACCAUUGAAAGUUUUAUUUUUAACUCGACAAGUCUCGAUAUUUAUUGAAAGAGAUUCUAUCUUUUAAAAGCAGAUGCAAAGAUACCUUCAAUCAUCUUAAUUGGAAAUAAUAUCAUUGAAGCACCUUUGUCUAUCGAUUACAUGCCAAUCUAAAUUUAACAGGUUUUUUUUUAAAAAUACAAUUGAGAACGAAAAUGGGGACUGUGUCAAAGUCUGCAUUGGAAAAAAAAUGCUUGUCAGACGUUUUAUGGAAUUUGAUCAUGAAUACGUUGAUCUUUUAACUCGAUGAUGAAUGUUCAAUGCUUCUUGUAACAUUUCACUCUAAAUUGCAGCAAAUCAGUGUUACUUGCGCUCAAAAUAAAUUAGAUUCAGGAAUCAGGAAUUGCCUUUUUUAAAUUGUUAUACAAAAAUUCAGAUGCAUAAUUCGAUCAUUAAAAGAUAAUUCUCAAAUCUUCUUGAUUGAAAAAAAGAUCAUCAACGCAUCUUUGUUCCAUAAAUAUACAAAAAGUUACAAUUCUUUUUCUAAAUAUAGUUCCGAUAUGUGUAUACAAUAACUGUCUAAAGAUUACAUUAUGUACGUAAACAAUUAUAGGCAACCGUACGGCCUGCAACAAAGCCGCUUUUCUUAGCGUUUCGUAAACGCAGUAUAAUAUAUAAUAUACACCAAAAGUAUAAUUUUAUAAUCUUCUUUU